This 86-nucleotide transfer RNA is filed under the name Burkholderia ubonensis. RNAcentral's name for it is "tRNA-Leu". It matches the Rfam family "tRNA". From Rfam's summary of the family: Transfer RNA (tRNA) molecules are approximately 80 nucleotides in length. Their secondary structure includes four short double-helical elements and three loops (D, anti-codon, and T loops). Further hydrogen bonds mediate the characteristic L-shaped molecular structure. tRNAs have two regions of fundamental functional importance: the anti-codon, which is responsible for specific mRNA codon recognition, and the 3' end, to which the tRNAs corresponding amino acid is attached (by aminoacyl-tRNA synthetases). tRNAs cope with the degeneracy of the genetic code in two manners: having more than one tRNA (with a specific anti-codon) for a particular amino acid; and 'wobble' base-pairing, i.e. permitting non-standard base-pairing at the 3rd anti-codon position. The record is from RNAcentral. Lineage: Bacteria; Pseudomonadati; Pseudomonadota; Betaproteobacteria; Burkholderiales; Burkholderiaceae.
GCCCAGGUGGUGGAAUGGAAGACGCGCUACGUUCAGACCGUAGUGGCCGCAAGGCUGUGAGGGUUCGAGUCCCUCUCUGGGCACCA